RNAcentral lists this non-coding RNA (129 nucleotides) under Neomesorhizobium albiziae. Lineage: Bacteria; Pseudomonadati; Pseudomonadota; Alphaproteobacteria; Hyphomicrobiales; Phyllobacteriaceae. The record is from RNAcentral.
GAGAGCCGGAUGCGGGAGAUCUGCAUGUCCGGUUCGACGAGCGGGGUGUGGAAACGGAGCCAGGGUUGAACCAGUGAGGCACCGCCAGACGAAAGAGGCGGCAAACAGAUAUGUUCAACCUACCGCCAC